Molecule: long non-coding RNA, 2375 nt
Organism: Carassius carassius (crucian carp)
Lineage: Eukaryota; Metazoa; Chordata; Actinopteri; Cypriniformes; Cyprinidae
Exons: 5
Source: RefSeq, a predicted model, not a curated record
CAUUUGUUCCAUAAACUGCAUGGCCACGCUUCAGUUCUCACUUCUCAAUUCUCAAUAUUACUUGACUUUUGCUUCAAUAAUCUAUAAAUGUACUGCUUAUUAAUAGUAAGUAAUGUAGUUGUUAUAAAUUUAGAUUUUGGGUAGAAUUAUGAAUGUAGAAUAUGGUCAUUUCGAAUAUGUGCUUUAUAAGUACUAAUAAACAGCCAAUAUGUAAAUAAUAGGCAUGCUAAUAAACAACAAGGUAUUAGUGAGAAUUGGUCAUUAUACUAAAGUGUUACAGGUAGGGAUCUAAAAUAUGGUCAUGCAGAAUAAAGCAUUAAUAUGUGCUUUAUAAGUACUAAUAAACAGCCAAUAUGCUAGUAAUGUGCGUGCCAAUACGCAACUGGGGAAUAGUAAGAAAUGGUCCCUAAACAAAUUAUUUGUAUUAAUUGUAUUUUACAUGAUUCGGCAUCUGUGCAUUGAUCUUCUUGCAGUAAGUUAAAGUAUUUCACACUUUUCUCUGAGACUGAAAAAGAGCAGAGCAGGUCACCCAGUGUGGUGCCUCUCAUCUUUUGUGUGCUGGUUUCCUCAUGCCAGCUUUCUGCUGUCACAUUAGUGCAUGUCAAAUGCACAACCUCACAUGCAAAUGAAAUCUUAGACUUUUAGCUUUUUGUUAGCUCAGAGGCUUCCUUUGCUAACAGGAAGUAGUUUUUAGUCUUUCAAACAGAUUUGCUAAGUGUCAUCAUGUUUGUCUGUCCUUUCUAAGUGUCUCUGAGGGGUGUUUUGGAGCAAUUGUUUACACCUGCUGCAGUGGGUAGAUAUUUGGUGCUGCAGCUGCAUGUCAUGAAUUGAAUGAAAGCAGGCACUUGAGCAACUAUGUGUGCACCAAGUAAAAAGCACAAUGUAGGAGCAUUAGCAUGCUAAUGAGGUGCAGGGCGACAGGUGGCCUGCUAGACAGCUCAAUUAAGCAGCUCGUUAAAGGCCAAGCUAACGAAGCGGCCUGCACUGCAAGCCUCAACAAACAAUGUGACUGUGCAGGCUACAAAUUGCUUCCAGUGGAACAUUGACAGGAUGUGCCACCCAUUUUUUAAAGAUGUUCAGGUUUUUGGUGAACAAUUAGUGUGAGGCUGACGUAAAUGGUCUCGACCCCUGGUUGCUGUGAACAUUUAUAGGGAUGCAGAGGAGGGAUGGAGAGAUGUGUUCCUCAUAAAGAAUCCAGCUGAGACAAUAGAACAGCACACAGGCACUUGGGGAACAGAAGGGUGACACAGAGGGCAGCUCUUACCCACAACAACUCUCCUCCUUUGAAAACAAAACCCCAACCUGUUACUGCUUCAAUCUGUCUGUGGGGGGGGAUGCUUGUAAUAAAGCUGCCAGCCCCCUUGUUAGGCAUCAUGAGGGAUCAAGGGAGCAGGUUGUGGUCACAUUUGUAGCAUUUGGCUGCAGCAAAUCCCACAGCUUUUUUCCUGAAAAGAAGCAGCCACCUUAAAAGGGGGGCUGUCCUCCAGUGAAGACCCUGGUCUUUCUCCUGCUCUCAGCCUGCGCUCAGCGGUCUGCAUGUCCCUUACCAUCGCUUGCAAAUCCCCCUUUAUCCGCUGGCAGCCAGAUGGGGUGGCAGGAAUAAUAGGCAGAGCCUGAUGAGCACCAUUCAAUUUGUCCAGCCGUGUAAAGGAGCUUGUAAGCCGUUCCAUUUGAGCAGGGUGUAAUAGUAGUCAGGGGAGCAGAGGCUAUGUUAAGACUUAAUUACCUACUAAUGGCUGUUGUAGGGACAAAAGACUUGUGUAGACCCCAACAACUUACACUCCUGUAAUAGAGGAGAAAGGCUGGGAGAGGAAGGGGUUGGGGGAAAUUGUUUGAGAUGUUGUGGCCAGAAAUUUGUGAUGGCCAUGUGUUAAAAAUGUCAUCAACACAACUGUGUUAAAGGUGUGUAUUAGGUGUGUGGAUGAAAAGAAAAAGGAAAAGAAAAAGACUUUGCUGCAUGUACUUUGAUUUUCUUUAGAAAGCCAUUUUGGCUCAGAAACCUGUGAGAAAAGGUUUUUUUUUUUUCAUUGUUUUUUCUUUUUCUUUUCUUAUUCUCUUUUUUCAGUUUGAGGGAAGAUUAGCAGGAUUAAGACUGACUCACAUAUGCUGCUUAUCACCAUUGGUAUUCAACACAAGCCCAACUGCCAUCCAGAUGGGGAGAGAAAGAGAAAGACAGAGGGCGAGAGGGAAAGUUUUCCUCUGAUAUUAAAGGAUUGCUACACUGAAUCAGAACUGUUUGGAAUAAUUGUGGAAGAGAAAAAGGCUGUUUAGUGAGAAUGGGAGAAACCGUUAGAUGGUGAGAGGAGGGAAUCAUUAUGGAUUUAUGAUGGAAAAUAGUUAAAGGGGUGCAGGAUAUAGAGUGGGGUCCAAAAAUG